This 77-nucleotide transfer RNA is filed under the name Symmachiella macrocystis. RNAcentral describes it as "Planctomycetes bacterium CA54 tRNA-Asn". It matches the Rfam family "tRNA". Rfam says of the family: Transfer RNA (tRNA) molecules are approximately 80 nucleotides in length. Their secondary structure includes four short double-helical elements and three loops (D, anti-codon, and T loops). Lineage: Bacteria; Pseudomonadati; Planctomycetota; Planctomycetia; Planctomycetales; Planctomycetaceae. The record is from RNAcentral.
GAUUUGGUAGCUCAAUUGGUGAGAGCAUCAGGCUAUUAACCUGAAGGUAGUGGGUUCGAACCCCACCCAAGCCUCCA